GUGCCACGGGGCAGCCUGCAGUGCUGUGCAGAGCUGAUGCGUUUUCCUUCUCCAUGGAUGGGAGCUCAGCUGCAGAGUCUCCCUCUCCCGGGGGCAGAGUAGCUGCUGGUGGCCAGGCCUGCUGCAAGCGGGCAUAAUAUCUGCUCAUGUUUCUGACCAAGGCAGGAGAAUGGCCUGUGAGCAGCAGGAGGGGCUUGGGAGCUUUUUUUCCUCUCUCUGGAGUGUGAUUCUUGUGAAUUGAAAGGACAAGGCCUCUUCUUGGCCUAGCAUGCAAUCCAAGCAUCAUUCUGGUACUCUUCCUCUGCCUCUCCUCUUCUUCAAAGGAGAAAGCUCUCUAAGAAGUUAUAGUCUGUCAGUCUGCCUCGAAUCACUAGCCUGACUCCUCUCGUUGUGCCAAGUUGGGGAACAGAAGGCAGCCCUCCCUCAUUGUGGGUUCAGAGGAAGCAUGUCAGCAUCUUCUAAUGACGGUGUCUGCUGCAAGUCCUUUGUAGAAAUCUUAUUUCUGUCCCCUCAGAGUUCCAUCCCAGGACAUUCACCCGCACUGUCAAGGCAUCUCCCCGACGAUGCCAGUCUGUGUGAUGGGGCCGGGUGCAGGGCUGAAGAUUUCAGGCCCUCCCUGCUUGAAGAGCCCAGAGUGAGAACUGCAGUUGGACCCGGAGCACCUGAAGGCGGGCCACAUCACUGUGCCGGGAAACGUGAAUCGCACCCACCGAUUCGGUAAUGUUCCUGCGCCACCACGGAGCCAGCCUCUGCUGAAGGUCUGGCUGUGUGACUGAGCACGUGUCCUCUCCCUCUCUUCCCACCUCCCUGCUGGAUGUAACUUGGCCCAGAGGGAAGGACCUGGACCCGCCACAAGGGGGAGCCGCGGCGGAGCCUGAGAGGAGGACUCACGCUUUUCAAUGGAGCCGCAUACCCUUGGUAUGGCUGUGGUGAACGCGGGGACAGAAACAAUCUGCCACGCUGAGGUCACUGCCUCUGGCAUUUAUGAAGGUAGCAGAAGGCAGCAACCCAAACAACGGCUUAAGAACGCUCUACUUGUAAAAAUAAUAAGUUAAUUAAAAGAUAAAUGUAA
Molecule: long non-coding RNA, 1072 nt
Organism: Mesocricetus auratus (golden hamster)
Lineage: Eukaryota; Metazoa; Chordata; Mammalia; Rodentia; Cricetidae
Exons: 3
Source: RefSeq, a predicted model, not a curated record